Alligator mississippiensis (American alligator) is the source of this 3176-nucleotide long non-coding RNA. RefSeq lists it as uncharacterized. Lineage: Eukaryota; Metazoa; Chordata; Crocodylia; Alligatoridae. The record is from RefSeq and is a predicted model, not a curated record. The transcript has 3 exons.
GUGGGGAUUGGGCACCAAGUCCAGGCUCCCCCCGUGCUAUCCAGGGCGGCUCCUUCAUGGAAGAUGUUCAACACAUCCAUAGGCAUGGGUGGAUUCGCUCCCACCGGGGAAACUUCCCCACAUACUGGUGCCCCGUGGAUUUGGCGUGACCCAGAGCGCUCUCCUUGGCUUUAUCUCAGCGGCCAACAGCCCGCACUUAGCACCGGCAAGACCUGGGAGGAGCGGCCGUUCCCUCAUGCCAGCGAACGCCGCCGGGAUUGCCGAGCCUGGCGGCGUAGAGCAACCCGUGACGGCCUGCGAGGGGAGGACGGCGACCGUCCUGGAGACCGGCUGAACGAUUACGUGUUCAGACCUGAGGCAAAAAUGAAGUGACUGAACGUGUCUUAGUGGUUUCUUCAAACGGAAACGGUUGGAAAUUCAUGGAUGUGAGGGGCUGGAUCAUCAGGUCCAGCCCCCCGCGCUUGGGCAGGAAAGACCGCUGGGGCAGGUGACCCCGGCAAGGUGGGCGUCCAGACGCUUUUUGAAGAUAUCCAGAAUAUGUGAUUGUACCACUUCGAUGGGGGGGAGUCUGUUCCAGACCCUGGACACUCGAGUUGUAAAGAUUUUUUUCCUUCUGUCUAAUUUCCAUCGGUCUUCUAGCAAUGUAUGACCGUUAGUCCUAGCCUGGGGAGCCCUGGUGAACAGACGUUCUCCCAGUCCCUGAUGUCCGCCCCUUAUAUACUUAUAGGCAGCCACCAAGUCCCCUCUGAGUCUUCUCUUCUCCAGGCUGAAGACCCAUGUCUCAGCCUCUCAUCAUAUGGCCUGCUCUCCAUACCUCUAUCCAUAUACACGGCCCUCCUUUGCACCCUUUCAAGCCUCUCCACAUCCUUCCUGAAGUGCUCCAGUACUCCAGCUGCGGCCUCACCAAGGCCAGAGAAAGCAGGUGGAUGACAUCCUUAGUCUUGUUUGAGAUGCAUCGGCAUGCAAGUGUUUGGUUUGCUUUGCCGGCUAUGGCAUUGCAUUCCCUGAACGUUCAGCAGCGAUCCAUGCCACGUCAGAAAAGCAGACCUGGCCGAUGUGCUGAAGUCUAGAGACCAUCCCAUGCAAGAGGAAGGAGCAUACAGACAGGGAGAAGGACAUCACACCAUACCCACAGCCAAAUUUUUUUGGUAGUAUUCCUGGAGAUAACAUCUGAACGCUGGACUACGAAGCAGGAACUUUGGGGCCGGUUCCUGCCUGGAAGUCCUAAUGCAAAAUAGGAUUAGAGGGAGAGGACACGAAAAAUGAUACCUGGCUGAAGCAUGUCCACAUUUAAACUGGUAAUAAAAUGACAGACCAGAAAUUAAUCUCUCGUUAACACUGAUUUUCCAUAUUUUGUUGGCCCGUGGUGAACCUUUGUUGGCUUAUCUGUGCUUUCCCCUCAUCUGUUAUCCCCUUUUGCUCUGAGCUGUCCAUGAUGUAACGAUUGUGAUAGUUCUUCAGCAACUGCUGAUGCUUCCAGGCUAGACCAAAAAAAAUCUACAUUGCUUAAAACAAAACACAUCCAAGCCUGUCAGAGGAAAUUUUUGGUUGAGGUGGCUUCUCCAGCUUUUCAAGUCUUUGUCAUUUGCAUGAAGGAUUGCUCCCACACUGUUCCCCUUUUUUGCGCCUCUCCGUUGUGUAUGAGUUGGUGAAGCAUCAAACACAAACACAUUCCAUCACAAGUGACUCUUCUUUGACACAUCACAGAACAGGAAUUAGGCCAUGAUAUUGCACAGUAUGGGUGCUUUUGGAUUGCCAUUGGAGGGCAAAUGAACAAGGAGCUCAUGGAGGAGAAAAAGGAAUACUGUUAUCCAACAGAGCUCUAGGCUAUGAGCCAAUUUUCAAUCAGCAGUUCUAUUGCCCCCAUUCUGAGAUGGGGAAUGAAUGGAUAGAGUACUCCAUGCCUACGACCAGGACAAUACCUUUGGAAAGGAAAUGUUGUAAUGUAAGUUUUAAAAAGGUGAAUCCCUUGACCACUUGAGCCAACUAAUUUGUAUCUGGAACUCAAUGACUUAGACUUAAGUCUGGCUGACCAGCCAAUAACAUGGAGGGGGAGCACCAACAUACAGCCAUUUAGCUCCAGCUGAGACCCUCCAUCAGUUUUUGAGGACAGCCAGAUGAAAAACCCUGCCAAGAUGUAGUGCCUUCAGUCUGCAGGGCCACGCUUUAAAGGCACAAGGAAGAUCUAAGUAUCGGAGAAGCGUGGCGAGAAGGGACCUCCACGGGUCAUCUAGCGACAGCGGUCCUCAUCCUGUUUUGUACCAGGACCCGUUUGGAAGCAAACAUCCCGAGCCAGUCAAUAGUGCAAGAGAUGCACUCUUCUGGUUCAGGACCUGCCAGGUGAUGGAAAUGGGAGUCUCCUUCCUGGCAAGCGAAACUCGGGGGCAUCUGAACCGCAAGCCUCUGGGCACAUAGGACACCCGCCAAAGGGUUUGGAAACAUCAUGAAGCCCCCAGCGUGGGUGGAGGAUGUUUGCCAGUAGUAGGGCCGCUUAUGGUUCUGGACUCUUGGAUGUGGAAUUAGUUUUGGCUAAUUUGGCCAAAUUAAAUAAAUAAAAAAAGAGCCACCAGCUUCUCCAAGGAUGACGACUAGAGGUCGUCUUUCAAAUGUCCGAGUCCACCCACGGCACCCCUGCAAGGGUGGCUGCCUCCUGCUUUAGUGGGACCCCGCUGCCUCCCCGCUUCGUGGCACAGGAGACUGGGCAGCAUGGACCGACGUCCGACACAGUCGAGGGCAACCCUUGCGUGAUGUUCUUAUGCCAUUUGGGUUGGUCUAAUAAAAGAUAUCAGAUUCACCCAAGGAACCUUGUCUGUCUUAUGUCCAGGCCCGUAUCUCCCCCCUCCAAGCCCAUGGGCACAUGUAGGAUUUUGAAAAGCAGGGCGCGCAUCCUCGCAUAGACACCAACCCGUCUUUUUCUCCAGCUGAAGAGAAACGCGAUGGUUUACAAAUACAGCACUCUACUAUUCAGUUUUAAGAUCAAAGCAAAAACAAAAAUAACUAUUGGACCACGUGCUAAUUUGCUAGAUUCUGUACGAAGUUAAUAAAAAAACAAACACAACAAAAUAGGCAAGUGAUACUGCAUCAUUAGGUCUGUAGUCAUUAUAGUUAAAUGUAUGUCUCGAUUUUUCCUAAUAUUUGAGUUGGUCUAAUAAAAGAUAUCGGGUUUACCCAAAUAA